Long non-coding RNA from Oncorhynchus tshawytscha (Chinook salmon), 455 nucleotides. The record is from Ensembl. Lineage: Eukaryota; Metazoa; Chordata; Actinopteri; Salmoniformes; Salmonidae.
GUGGUGGUGGUGAUUAUGAUGGAGAGAGAGGUGGUGGUGGUGAUGAUGAUGAUGGAGAGAGAGGUGGUGGUGGUGGUGGUGAUGAUGAUGAUGGAGAGAGAGGUAGUGGUGGUGGUGGUGAUGAUGAUGAUGGAGAGAGAGGUGGUGGUGGUGAUGAUGAUGAUGGAGAGAGAGGUGGUGGUGGUGGUGGUGGUGAUGAUGGAGAGAGAGGUGGUGGUGGUGGUGAUGAUGGAGAGAGAGGUGGUGGUGGUGGUGAUGAUGAUGAUGGAGAGAGAGGUAGUGGUGGUGGUGGUGAUGAUGAUGGAGAGAGAGGUGGUGGUGGUGGUGGUGAUGAUGAUGGAGAGAGAGGUGGUGGUGGUGGUGGUGAUGAUGAUGGAGAGAGAGGUGGUGGUGGUGGUGGUGAUGAUGAUGGAGAGAGAGGUGGUGGUGGUGGUGAUGAUGAUGAUGGAGAGAGA